UUUGUGAAUUCCUGAGUGGGCACCUUUGCAGCUUUAAAGGAAAGAAGUAGGAUGUCUCUGGCUCUUAGAGCAUGGAAGGCUUGCAGCCACAACCCACUGCCCAUAAGAACUCAGGGCACAUACUAAGGUAGCUCAGAGGGGUGUCUCAUUCUCUGGGGGGCCUUUGACAAACAUUUGGAGAAGCACUGUGAUAAUCAAAGUAUAGCAAUAGAACCAAAGAGGGAGGCAUUUUAAGGAUCUGUUCUCUUAGAGCUUGUGAUACUUUCUUUGGGGCACAGUAAUGUCCCAGCACAAGUGAACUAGCACUGGGCCCCCGUGGGAGCUCCAGUAAGAAGAGCUAGCAUCCUAAGACCUGAAUCUGUAGAAAUACUAUACCUGAGCUGCUUGGCUUAUCACCUGCCAUGUUUUAGAACUGAAAUGGCUUUCAUUGCCCCUGCUGCUUUUUGGGUUUUGGUGGUGGUGGAUGGGAGAGAUACUCAACAGUAUUUAUUGAACAAAAUGGACUGAAGUAGCUAGAUUCAGGUAUCCAGAACUGGGGGAUGGGGGGAUGGAAUCUCUUAAUGCAAAGCAUUAUACUGAAAUCAGUCAUUGUCAGCCAGAUACACCCCUA
Molecule: long non-coding RNA, 610 nt
Filed under: Bos taurus (domestic cattle)
Lineage: Eukaryota; Metazoa; Chordata; Mammalia; Artiodactyla; Bovidae
Description: long non-coding RNA NONBTAT020111
Source: RNAcentral